UUACAUUGUUAAUGUACUGCAUAACUUUAAAUUUAAUUAUUUUUUUUUAAAUUAGAAAAAUGGCAUAUUUUACUGUCCCAUGUAGUAUGAUAUUUUAUACCUUAUAUGCAGCAAUAAUUAUAAAUGAUUGCAUUAAUUCUUUUAACUAAGCAAAGCCUUCUCUGUAGGUUAUAAUUCCAUAAGCAAUAUCAUUACCAGUAAUAAGAGUGUAAUAAAUGUAUAUUCAAAGUUUAAAUCAAAUUGGGAAUGGAAAUGGGGAGUGUGUCAAAGAGACAGCAACCUGACCAAAAAGUAGAAAACAGCCCAAGGCCAUCAAUUUGUAUGCCAAAGGGCUUAGGGCAACAAUUCGAUCGUACAUAUAUAGCCUCAAUUUUUUUGAAAUAUUUUUUUUAACACCUGAAUCGUAUGAAUGAGGUGGGUGUUUUAAAAACAACAUCAUAGCUACCAGCUUCCCUCACAUUUGUCACAAAGCUUUGUCUUAAGUUAUUGCAAAGAAUUAUUUGUCUCCUAUUAUUUUGUAUGGAAUGUAAUUAUAUUUUUAUACUACAUCCACAUGUUAUCUGUGAUCAAAUGUUUGUUUUGUUGGCUGUGAAUACAUGUAUGUAUUUAUAUUUGGUUAGAUGUUCAAUGUUAGUCUGCUUUUAACUAGUCUAGAUUUUACACAUAAAGUUUAUAUAAAAGCGAUGAAUUUCAGAGUUUAUAAAAAUAGGGGAGCAUAGUUGAAGAGUUUAUAUUACGGGAGCAUAUUGCAAAAAUUUAUAUUUUAUUGAUAUUUAUUUUUGACCAAACUAGAGUUGUAUUUUAUGAAUAAGUUACACCAGUUGACCCAAGGUCAAUUGGAUUAAAUGAUGUUAUUGAACAGUUGGUUCUUACUGUGACAUAAUGAUAUAAGCAUUGUGACAUAAUGAUAUAAGUAUUGUGACAUAAUGAUAUAAGUACUGUGACAUAAUGAUAUAAGCAUUGUGACAUAAAUGAACCAACUUGAAAGUAGUGUAUUACACUUGAAUCAUUGUUUAUUUUCAUGUCUGAUCAUACUGUAAACCAAGUCAUUUCGCUGAUACUUUAUUUUGUAUUUAGUCCUACUAUCCCAUUUCGUGAUCUUAAAAUUGUUUGAUGUAAUUUAAGGUGGUACCUAACACUACAAGGAGAUUACUCUGUAAAGUCAGCUAAACGUUUUAAUUACGUUUGUGUUGUAAAAGGA
Molecule: long non-coding RNA, 1201 nt
Filed under: Mytilus galloprovincialis (Mediterranean mussel)
Lineage: Eukaryota; Metazoa; Mollusca; Bivalvia; Mytilida; Mytilidae
Source: RNAcentral